UGCGUAGGCGGACUUAUAAGUCAGCGGUGAAAGUUUGCAGCUUAACUGUAAAAUUGCCGUUGAAACUGUUAGUCUUGAGUGUAAAUGAGGUAGGCGGAAUGUGUUGUGUAGCGGUGAAAUGCUUAGAUAUAACACAGAACACCAAUUGCGAAGGCAGCUUACUGGGAUACAACUGACGCUGAGGCACGAAAGCGUGGGAUCAAACA
Molecule: ribosomal RNA, 206 nt
Filed under: uncultured bacterium
Lineage: Bacteria
Description: partial 16S ribosomal RNA
Rfam family: Bacterial small subunit ribosomal RNA
Source: RNAcentral